UACGGGGGGGGCAAGCGUUGUUCGGAAUUACUGGGCGUAAAGGGCUCGUAGGCGGCCAACUAAGUCAGACGUGAAAUCCCCAGGCUUAACCUGGGAACUGCGUCUGAUACUGGAUGGCUUGAAUUCGGGAGAGGGAUGCAGAAUUCCAGGUGUAGCGGUGAAAUGCGUAGAUAUCUGGAGGAAUACCGGUGGCGAAGGCGGCAUCCUGGACCGAGAUUGACACUGAUGAGCGAAAGCUAGGGGAGCAAACGGG
This 253-nucleotide ribosomal RNA is filed under the name uncultured bacterium. Its description in RNAcentral is "partial 16S ribosomal RNA". It matches the Rfam family "Bacterial small subunit ribosomal RNA", at positions 524 to 776 of the family's 1533-position model. The record is from RNAcentral.